CAUCGAGCACGCCAUUAUGAUAGUCCAAUUACGAGAUAUUGCCUCUCGGAGUUGAAGUGUUUGAGGAGUGCUGGUCGCGGCGGCGGCGGUUCAAUAGGCACUCGAGGAGAGCUUGAAGACCCUUUCACCGUUCGAGUCCUGUCCGAUCGUUAAAACCUCACGCUUUGACCCCGGGCUGGAGGACGGGUCACCAAGGAAGCAGACCGUAGACAAUGAGAAGAAGCGAGUUGCUGCACCGGCGGUUGGUGGAGGAGGGACGAAGAAACGGUAGGAGGACAGAGGUGAAACGUUGAGAAAGAGAAAGCAGAGAAACCACACGGGUCGCGGGUAAGCGGUAAGUUUCUAACGAGAAGCAUUAGCGGAGUGGACGAGGCGACAUCAAAUAUGUAGAUAGCGCUACGGGGAAUUUCUCCGGAGAACAAAGUUGCUACAACGUAGCUCCGGACUCGGAAACAGAAGGAGGUGAAUAUAAAGGGGGAACAAGGGGGAGGGAGAGUGAAGCCAACACGCAGAGAAGGGAAACAAGAGCCACACGGAGAGAGAGGAACGGUCUUGCCUCAUCCUUGGAAGGCAGCUCGCGGCAUCAGACUCCCUUGUGGUGCGCUUCCAACCCUCCGUACGUCGGAUAAUAAUGGGAAAAGCUGGCGAGCUACGGCCCCCUGCACCGUAGCACGAAUUAAGUCUGCGGAAACGCCGCCGCGUCUGGAAUUGAUUAACCUUCGUAGUUCACGAGACCAGCGAAACCCUCGUGCGUGCUGCACGAGGCAGUUUGGAUGCCCAUAGCCUUGAAGAAACGAUGGAUUUCAUAGCUAUUGCGAUGUUUCGCUGAUGUUCUGGGGAUUCGAGGUUUUAGGAGUAUGAUAGGGGUCGUGAUAUAGUGAGGUCGUAAGAUUAAAGUCAAUAGUCGAAGCACAGUGGAACUUUGUUUAUAUAGGGUUACCAGGAUUUGGCGUGGAUCGUUUUGGAUUUGUAAUUAUGUUUAAGGUUGUCGAAAAGGGAUCGAAAAGUCUGAGAAUUUUGUGAGUGAAUGGUCAUAGAAGCUGAAGAAGAAUAUGUUGUUUAAUUGCGUAGAAACAAGAAGAAGAUACAUACGAAUAUUUUUCUACA
Long non-coding RNA from Bombus impatiens (common eastern bumble bee), 1107 nucleotides. RefSeq lists it as uncharacterized. Lineage: Eukaryota; Metazoa; Arthropoda; Insecta; Hymenoptera; Apidae. The record is from RefSeq and is a predicted model, not a curated record. The transcript has 2 exons.